UACGUAGGGUCCGAGCGUUGUCCGGAAUUACUGGGCGUAAAGAGCUCGUAGGUGGUUUGUCGCGUUGUUCGUGAAAACUCACAGCUCAACUGUGGGCGUGCGGGCGAUACGGGCAGACUUGAGUACUGCAGGGGAGACUGGAAUUCCUGGUGUAGCGGUGAAAUGCGUAGAUAUCGAGAGGAACACCUGCGGCGAAGGCGGGUUGCUGGGCUGACACUGACGCUGAUGCGCGAAAGCCAGGGGAGCGAACGGG
Molecule: ribosomal RNA, 253 nt
Filed under: uncultured bacterium
Lineage: Bacteria
Description: partial 16S ribosomal RNA
Rfam family: Bacterial small subunit ribosomal RNA
Source: RNAcentral